CGAGCCGGGCGGACGGCCGCGUGGAGUCCCCGUGAGGGGGCUUCCCGAGGAACGUCCGGGCUCCACAGGGCAGGGUGGUGGCUAACGGCCACCCGGGGUGACCCGCGGGACAGUGCCACAGAAAGCAGACCGCCCGGCGCUCCGGCGCCGGGUAAGGGUGAAACGGUGGUGUAAGAGACCACCAGCGCCUGAGGUGACUCAGGCGGCUAGGUAAACCCCACCCGGAGCAAGGUCAAAAGGAAGCACCCCGGUGCUUCUGCGCGGACGUUCGAGGGCUGCCCGCCCGAGUCCGCGGGUGGACCGCACGAGGCCGGUGGCAACACCGGUCCUAGAUGGAUGGCCGUCGCCCCGGCUCCCGCGAGGGAACCGGGGAACAGAACCCGGCGUACAGCCCGGCUCGUCCU
Molecule: RNase P RNA, 404 nt
Filed under: Streptomyces albogriseolus
Lineage: Bacteria; Bacillati; Actinomycetota; Actinomycetes; Kitasatosporales; Streptomycetaceae
Also listed under: 4 other names
Description: RNase P RNA component class A
Rfam family: Bacterial RNase P class A
About the family: Ribonuclease P (RNase P) is a ubiquitous endoribonuclease, found in archaea, bacteria and eukarya as well as chloroplasts and mitochondria.
Source: RNAcentral